UACGUAGGGGGCAAGCGUUGUCCGGAUUUACUGGGCGUAAAGAGCGUGUAGGCGGCCAAACAGGUCCGUUGUGAAAACUGGAGGCUUAACCUCCAGACGUCGACGGAAACCGUAUGGCUAGAGUCCGGAAGAGGAGAGUGGAAUUCCUGGUGUAGCGGUGAAAUGCGCAGAUAUCAGGAAGAACACCGAUGGCGAAGGCAGGUCUCUGGGCAUUAACUGACGCUGAGGAGCGAAAGCAUGGGGAGCGAACAGG
This 253-nucleotide ribosomal RNA is filed under the name uncultured bacterium. RNAcentral's name for it is "partial 16S ribosomal RNA". It matches the Rfam family "Bacterial small subunit ribosomal RNA", at positions 524 to 776 of the family's 1533-position model. The record is from RNAcentral.